RNAcentral lists this ribosomal RNA (486 nucleotides) under Triticum aestivum (bread wheat). Its description in RNAcentral is "partial small subunit ribosomal RNA". The record is from RNAcentral. Lineage: Eukaryota; Viridiplantae; Streptophyta; Magnoliopsida; Poales; Poaceae.
AUGAAGGGGGCCAAAUCCAAGGGCGCCGUCAAGGCCGACACCAAGUUGGCGGUGAAGAGCAAGGGGGCGGAGAAGCCGGCCGCCAAGGGGAAGAAGGGCAAGGCCGGCAAGGACCCCAACAAGCCCAAGAGGGCGCCCUCCGCCUUCUUCGUCUUCAUGGGCGAGUUCCGCGAGGAGUUCAAGCAGAAGAACCCCAAGAACAAGUCCGUCGCCGCCGUCGGCAAAGCGGCCGGUGAGAGGUGGAAGAGCUUGAGCGAAUCGGAGAAGGCCCCCUACGUGGCCAAGGCCAACAAGCUCAAGGGCGAGUACAACAAGGCCAUUGCCGCCUACAACAAGGGCGAGAGUGCUGCUGCUGCUGCCCCAAAGAAGGCGGCGGCCAAGGAGGUAGAGGAGGACGAUGAGGAGGAAUCCGACAAGUCCAAGUCGGAGAUCAAUGAUGACGAUGACGAUGAGGGUAGCGACGAGGACGAGGACGAUGACGAGUGA